RNAcentral lists this long non-coding RNA (304 nucleotides) under Mytilus galloprovincialis (Mediterranean mussel). The record is from RNAcentral. Lineage: Eukaryota; Metazoa; Mollusca; Bivalvia; Mytilida; Mytilidae.
AAUUUACAAAGCUAAAAAUGAUGGGUGCAUUACCCAGUGCAUCAUAUAUACGUAUCAUUUUGUGCCAUCUUUAACACUCUAUAAUAUGCACAGAGUAAAGGAAUCAAAUUACUUUAAAAAUUCAUAAAGAAAAUAAUACAGUACGUUAUGACACGGUGUUUAAAAUUGGCACGUUAUGUCAUAUAUUUGUUACAUUUGUAUAUGGACAUGAUCGAGUUGUCGUAGAACGAUAAUCCAUCCUCGUUUUCUCCAUUGUGAGUUGAUUUUUGAAUUCGACUCAUCUGCAAUUUGCAUUUGGAAUUAC